AGCAGCCGCGGUAAUUCCAGCUCCAAUAGCGUAUAUUAAAGUUGUUGCAGUUAAAAAGCUCGUAGUUGAAUUUCGGGGUUAGUAGGUUGGUCAUGCCUCUGGUAUGUACUGGUCUCACUGAUUCCUCCUUCCUGAUGAACCUUAAUGCCAUUAAUUUGGUGUUUUGGGGAAUUUGGACUGUUACUUUGAAAAAUUAGAGUGUUUAAAGCAAGCUAACGCUUGAAUACAUUAGCAUGGAAUAAUGAAAUAGGACGUUCGAUCCUAUUUUGUUGGUUUCUAGGAUUGACGUAAUGAUUAAUAGGGAUAGUUGGGGGCAUUAGUAUUCAAUUGUCAGAGGUGAGAUUCUUGGAUUUAUUGAAGACUAACUACUGCGAAAGCAUUUGCCAAGGAUGUUUUCAUUAAUCAAGAACGAAAGUUAGGGGAUCGAAGGCGAUCAGAUACCGUCGUAGU
This 450-nucleotide ribosomal RNA is filed under the name uncultured Glomus. RNAcentral's name for it is "SSU rRNA". It matches the Rfam family "Eukaryotic small subunit ribosomal RNA", at positions 569 to 1024 of the family's 1831-position model. The record is from RNAcentral. Lineage: Eukaryota; Fungi; Glomeromycota; Glomeromycetes; Glomerales; Glomeraceae.